RNAcentral lists this ribosomal RNA (484 nucleotides) under uncultured bacterium. RNAcentral's name for it is "partial 16S ribosomal RNA". It matches the Rfam family "Bacterial small subunit ribosomal RNA", at positions 30 to 507 of the family's 1533-position model. The record is from RNAcentral.
AUUGAACGCUGGCGGCAGGCCUAACACAUGCAAGUCGAGCGGAUGAAGGGAGCUUGCUCCUGGAUUCAGCGGCGGACGGGUGAGUAAUGCCUAGGAAUCUGCCUGGUAGUGGGGGAUAACGUCCGGAAACGGGCGCUAAUACCGCAUACGUCCUGAGGGAGAAAGUGGGGGAUCUUCGGACUUCACGCUAUCAGAUGAGCCUAGGUCGGAUUAGCUAGUUGGUGGGGUAAAGGCCUACCAAGGCGACGAUCCGUAACUGGUCUGAGAGGAUGAUCAGUCACACUGGAACUGGGACACGGUCCAGACUCCUACGGGAGGCAGCAGUGGGGAAUAUUAGACAAUGGGCGAAAGCCUGAUCCAGCCAUGCCGCGUGUGUGAAGAAGGUCUUCGGAUUGUAAAGCACUUUAAGUUGGGAGGAAGGGCAGUAAGUUAAUACCUUGCUGUUUUGACGGUACCAACAGAAUAAGCACCGGCUAACUUCGUG